RNAcentral lists this ribosomal RNA (254 nucleotides) under uncultured bacterium. Its description in RNAcentral is "partial 16S ribosomal RNA". It matches the Rfam family "Bacterial small subunit ribosomal RNA", at positions 524 to 776 of the family's 1533-position model. The record is from RNAcentral.
UACGUAGGGUGCAAGCGUUGUCCGGAAUUAUUGGGCGUAAAGAGCUCGUAGGCGGUCUGUCACGUCGGCUGUGAAAUCCCGAGGCUCAACCUCGGGUCUGCAGUCGAUACGGGCAAACUAGAGUAUUGCAGGGGAGACUGGAAUUCCUGGUGUAGCGGUGAAAUGCGCAGAUAUCAGGAGGAACACCGAUGGCGAAGGCAGAUCUCUGGGCCGUAACUGACGCUGAGGAGCGAAAGCGUGGGGGAGCGAACAGG